GAUGAACGCUAGCUACAGGCUUAACACAUGCAAGUCGAGGGGCAUCAGGAAGAAAGCUUGCUUUCUUUGCUGGUGACCGGCGCACGGGUGAGUAACACGUAUCCAACCUGCCCUUUACUCGGGGAUAGCCUUUCGAAAGAAAGAUUAAUACCCGAUGGGAUAAUGAUUCCGCAUGGUUUGAUUAUUAAAGGAUUCCGGUAAAGGAUGGGGAUGCGUUCCAUUAGGUUGUUGGUGAGGUAACGGCUCACCAAGCCUUCGAUGGAUAGGGGUUCUGAGAGGAAGGUCCCCCACAUUGGAACUGAGACACGGUCCAAACUCCUACGGGAGGCAGCAGUGAGGAAUAUUGGUCAAUGGGCGCGAGCCUGAACCAGCCAAGUAGCGUGAAGGAUGACUGCCCUAUGGGUUGUAAACUUCUUUUAUAUUAGAAUAAAGUGCAGUAUGUAUACUGUUUUGUAUGUAUAAUAUGAAUAAGGAUCGGCUAACUCCGUGCCAGCCGCCGCAGUAA
This 505-nucleotide ribosomal RNA is filed under the name uncultured bacterium. RNAcentral describes it as "partial 16S ribosomal RNA". It matches the Rfam family "Bacterial small subunit ribosomal RNA", at positions 28 to 523 of the family's 1533-position model. The record is from RNAcentral.